UUGCUAAUGUCAUCACUAAAAUAGUUAUUAGCAAUGGCUAGAAUGUUCGUCGCUAAUAAAGAUAAUUAGUGACAAGGAUUUUUCUGAUCACUAAUUAGCGAUGAGGUGCCAUCGCUAAUAGUAUUAACGAUGGUAAAAUGACUAUUAGCAAUAGUAAUUAGCAAUAUUUGAAAGUAUUCCAAUUUUUAUAGUCAUUCAACACUUAGGCUCGGACAACGUUCAGCGGCAUGUAGUUUGUGAACCUCCUAGGUGGAGACACACGUCGCUCUUCUCUAAAGAAAUUCUUUUGCUGGUGGUUGUACGAGGG
RNAcentral lists this long non-coding RNA (307 nucleotides) under Elaeis guineensis (African oil palm). RNAcentral's name for it is "long non-coding RNA (EGUI_LNC062359)". Lineage: Eukaryota; Viridiplantae; Streptophyta; Magnoliopsida; Arecales; Arecaceae. The record is from RNAcentral.